UCGUAGGGAUUCAAUGUGGGUUGGUGUAUUUGUAAAGAAUAGAGAUAGAGAGAGCGUGUGGCUGAUUGAUUUGAAUCAUUGAGGGGAGGGGAGCAAGUUCUUUUUUUCCUUUUUCUUUCAAGUACGCCUGUAUUUUUUUUCCUACAUUACUUAUGGUUCCACGGAUCAAAUCAAGAACCAUGAAGGGUAGAUGCUGGUAAUCGACUGUUUUUGGGAGAUAAAAGAAAUUAGUGGAGAUAAGCUGUUUGCAGCAAGUUUUCUGUCACUUUGAAAGUUCUUUGUUGAUCUAAUUAACUUUAGGGAAGAAAUCUGCACUGGCUCUACAAAAUUUGUUGUCUUUGCGAGGGAUCUUGACAGUAGGAACCCGUGCAUCUUGGCGGAUGCGACCGGCACUUUGCGAAGGGCGGAAGUGGUCAUUAUGCAUGAAUGCUUUUUUGGACAGGGCAACUUGGCAAAUCUGGAUGAUGGAAUUUCUUUCGGAGCUGAAUGUUGAGAUGUCUCUUCUCAGUCGUCCACUGCUUGGUUCUUGAUUGAAGCCUUCGAUCUUGAUGAGGUUUCGGAUCCCCUCUGCUUAGAUCCUGAUGACGAAGGCACGUUUGACUCUGGGUGUGUCCAUACCGCCGGUGAGAGCUUGGCUGCUGCCACCUAGGUCGAGUCUGGAAAGGGGAAGCCGGCAGACAUGCGAGACUCUUUAACCCCACCGAGCCUUGGAAGGAAUGUGCCGGAGGUGUAUUUGGUUUGCAUCCUACCAAGCCCUGACAAAUUGGUAACUAGGGCAGUAGGUUCCUUUGGGGGUGGUGGUUUCCCUUGUUUUGCUGGUGAACGAGGGUGCUUCGAUCGGGCUUGGCGGAAGUGAUCUAGUCAGGUCUCCUUGAAGGGAAGUGCGUUCUCCGAAAAAUGCGAACAUGUCAGUUCUUGCCAAUCCUCUAAAUGAGUCCUUGUGGGAGGAUCCAGCCAUAGGCUUCAAAGUGGAGCGGGUACAAAAACUUAUCUGUGAGGUACUUUUCGCAUUCUACAUUCCCUUUUUACUCUCUUGAUCUUGAGUCUGCUGUCUAAUCUCUGAACUUGUGUAAGGAAUAAGAUCACUAGCCCAUCGCAUUGCUGAAGGUGAGGUACGGCGUCUCCAGUCCAUAGUGGAGCAGGGGAGGGAAGAAUAGGAGUGCUUGGAUGUAGAGCUGGUAGUGGCUCAAAAGUGGGCUCUGAAGACCUAGGAGUCCCUGAGUAGGCUCCAACAAUAGAUCGCUGCGCAAAACCCGAAUAACCACAUCCUGACCGGCAAUCCUCUCAUGGGCAUCAGCCAGGUCGGCCAGCGCCUCUUCCUCGCAUACCUGAGCCGCAGCUAACAAAUCCUCGCGAUCCUUCACAAUGGCCAAUAGGUCGGAACACUCCCCCUCCAGCAUCUUGAUCCAACGAAAGAGAAGCUCUUGCAGACCCCUUAGCUCCUCAUUCUCCAUUUGGAGAAGCUCCAGGGGAGAAUGAGGAGUUGAGGGGUCAUCAGGCCUGUUACCUCAUCUCCAGGCCAGAGAGGAGUAGGAGUAGGAGAAGGGUCUGCGACGGGAGGGACAACAGAGUAUCUCUCCUUCAACUCGAUCUCUUUGGAGAGAGUCCAUAGAGCUCAUGCUGACCACGUCCCCCAUCGAGGUGAUUUGUCUCCUGCUUUCCUUCAUCUUGGGGUUGUUUGUAUCCUGGGAGCUCGGGAUGGUGCCUAUCUAGGGUUACUGUUUGAAUCUUGGGAGUCGCUAUUCCUUUUUGCCGAUGGUACUGUACCUUGCUGGGACCGAUUCAUGCCUUCGAGUUGUUCUUUCUCUUUUGCAUCUCUUUGCAUGGUUUCUCGCUGUUGUAUCGUAUUCUCCUGGUUGUAAUCAUCUUCGCAGUUGAUGAAUAAAAUUCUCUUCUUUA
Molecule: long non-coding RNA, 1899 nt
Organism: Carya illinoinensis
Lineage: Eukaryota; Viridiplantae; Streptophyta; Magnoliopsida; Fagales; Juglandaceae
Exons: 2
Source: RefSeq, a predicted model, not a curated record